CAAGACAUAGCUUAAACAAAGCAUUUUGCUUACACCAAAAAAAUAUUUAAUAACAUAAAUUAUCUUAA
RNAcentral lists this transfer RNA (68 nucleotides) under Nototriton limnospectator. RNAcentral's name for it is "tRNA-Val". Lineage: Eukaryota; Metazoa; Chordata; Amphibia; Caudata; Plethodontidae. The record is from RNAcentral.